UGCCUACGGGACGCAGCAGUGGGGAAUCUUCCGCAAUGGGCGCAAGCCUGACGCAGCGACGCCGCGUGAGGGAUGAAGGUCUUCGGAUCGUAAACCUCUGUCAGCAGGGAAGAACGGUCACUGUGCUAAUCAGCAGUGAAUUGACGGUACCUGCAAAGGAAGCACCGGCUAACUCCGUGCCAGCAGCCGCGGUAAUACGUAGGGAGCAAGCGUUGUCCGGAAUUACUGGGCGUAAAGGGCGCGUAGGUGGGGGCUUAAGUCAGGUGUGAAAACUCCGGGCUCAACCUGGAGACUGCAGUUGAAAC
RNAcentral lists this ribosomal RNA (305 nucleotides) under uncultured bacterium. Its description in RNAcentral is "bacterial SSU rRNA". It matches the Rfam family "Bacterial small subunit ribosomal RNA", at positions 335 to 633 of the family's 1533-position model. The record is from RNAcentral.